GGGCCCGCACAAGCGGUGGAGCAUGUGGUUUAAUUCGAUGAUACGCGAGGAACCUUACCAGGGUUUAAAUGUAGAAUGACCGGGGUGGAAACACCCCUUUCUUCGGACAGACUACAAGGUGCUGCAUGGUUGUCGUCAGCUCGUGCUGUGAAGUGUCGGGUUAAGUCCCAUAACGAGCGCAACCCCCAUUUCUAGUUGCCAGCGGUUCGGCCGGGGACUCUAGAGAAACUGCCAGCGUAAGCUGUGAGGAAGGUGGGGAUGACGUCAAAUCAUCACGGCCCUUACAUCCUGGGCCACACACGUGCUACAAUGGUAGGGACAACAGGUUGCCAACCCGCGAGGGUGAGCCAAUCCCAAAACCCUAUCUCAGUUCGGAUCGGAGUCUGCAACUCGACUCCGUG
Molecule: ribosomal RNA, 401 nt
Filed under: uncultured bacterium
Lineage: Bacteria
Description: bacterial SSU rRNA
Rfam family: Bacterial small subunit ribosomal RNA
Source: RNAcentral